UUUCCACCGCCGCUGCUCCUCACGUUUUCUCCCGGAGAGAUGAGGCGGAAAGAGAAGAGGCUGCUGCAGUUCGCAGGGCUGCUCAUAGCGGCUCUUCUCUUCCUCCCUAACGUCGGACUGUGGUCUUUGUACCGGGACCGAGUCUUCGACAACUCGCCAGGCACGGUGGACGCUCCGUGGGGCAUCCUCUCCAUGCAGGGGUUGAACCAGGUGAGGAGAGUAGCUCAGGUGGGAGUAGAUGGAGUGCGGCGGGUAGACUGGCACGACUACGAGGCGAUGAGGAGAGACGCCGCUCGAUCAGGUAACGGUGAGCAGGGGAAGCCGUUCCCUCUGACAGAGACGGACCGGGUGGACCAGGCCUACAGGGAGAACGGGUUCAACAUCUACAUCAGCGACCGCAUCUCUCUGAACCGCUCCCUCCCUGACAUCCGGCAUUCAAACUGUAAACAGAAGCUGUAUGCAGAGAAGCUGCCCAACACCAGCAUCAUCAUCCCGUUCCACAACGAGGGCUGGUCGUCUCUGCUGAGGACGGUUCACAGCGUGCUCAACCGCACUCCUCCACAGCUCAUCGCAGAGGUCAUCCUGGUCGACGACUUCAGUGACAAAGAGCACCUAAAGGUGGCGCUAGAAGAGUACAUGACGCGCAUGCCCAAGGUUCGUAUCCUGAGGACUAAGAAGAGGGAGGGUCUGAUCAGGACUCGUCUUCUGGGAGCUGCGGCUGCUAAAGGAGAAGUCAUCACCUUCCUGGACUCCCACUGUGAGGCCAAUGUCAACUGGCUGCCUCCACUGCUGGAUCGAAUCGCACAGAACAGGAAGACCAUUGUGUGUCCAAUGAUCGAUGUCAUCGACCACGACAACUUCGGCUACGACACACAGGCAGGGGACGCCAUGAGAGGAGCCUUUGACUGGGAAAUGUACUACAAGCGGAUCCCCAUCCCUCCAGAGCUGCAGAGGGAUGACCCCAGUGAACCCUUUGAGUCUCCUGUUAUGGCAGGAGGACUGUUUGCUGUGGACAGGAAGUGGUUCUGGGAGCUGGGAGGAUACGACACAGGUCUGGAGAUCUGGGGAGGAGAGCAGUACGAGAUCUCCUUCAAGGUGUGGAUGUGCGGUGGUCGGAUGGAGGACAUCCCUUGCUCCAGGGUAGGGCACAUCUACAGGAAGUACGUCCCCUACAAAGUCCCUGGUGGGAUCAGCUUGGCAAAGAACCUGAAACGUGUGGCGGAGGUCUGGAUGGAUGAGUACGCUGAGUACGUCUACCAGCGCCGGCCCGAGUAUCGCCACCUCUCUGCAGGAGACAUGACGGCCCAGAAGGAGCUGAGGAGCCGACUGAACUGCAAAAAUUUUAAGUGGUUCAUGAGCGAGGUGGCCUGGGAUCUGCCCAAACACUACCCACCUGUGGAGCCUCCUGCUGCAGCCUGGGGAUGGAUAAGAAACGUGGGAAGUGGGAUGUGUAUGGAGAUCAAACGGUUCGUGUCAGGGAGUCCAAUCCGCCUGGAGAGCUGCGUGAAACCACGAGGCGAGGUGGGCUGGAGUCAUGGACAGGUGCUGACAUUUGGUUGGAGGGAGGACAUCCGGGUGGGCGACCCAAUGCACACAAGGAAAGUCUGCUUUGACGCCGUCUCCCACAGCAGCCCUGUCACCCUGUAUGACUGUCACGGCAUGAAGGGGAACCAGCUGUGGAGAUACAGAAAGGAUAAGAGUCUCUAUCACCCCGUCAGCAACAGCUGCAUCGACUGUAGCCCGAGUGAGCGGCGAGUCUUCAUGAACACGUGUGACCCAUCCUCUCUGAGUCAGCAGUGGCUGUUUGAGAAAACCAACGCAACCGUACUGGAGCACUUCAACCGGGGCGCCAACUGAGGCUGCUAAAAGAACAGAAGUAGAUAAUGAGCUGCCUCAGCAACAUUAAAUGUGGAUCGGCAGGGACUUUGUGCACUGGCUGAGCUGAAGAGACAGUCGGACCACAUGCAACAACAUCCAGAUUACAAUCAUACAGCACGAGCUUGUGAUGAGGAAAGGGGAUGGGAGCGCCACGGUGAAACCUGAUCGUCCUGCAGAAAACAGAUCCCACAAAGACUGAUUUUUGGACAUCAAGUGUUUCCAAAGAGUUGAUUUUAUUUUGUGAAGAUGCUCCUGUCUUUCAUUGCAAGUUUGAAUCCAUCGAACACUGCUGGACUCAAUAGAUUGUCUAUUACAAUGCCUCUUUCAUCAUGCCUUUUUCAAUGGUUGCCUUAUGCCUUAUACAUGUCCAACUUUGGGAAAUACCAGCCCCUUUUGUGCAAAAAUAUACCAAAAGAGCAUUUGGUAGCAUAUGUGGUCUCUUGUUUUUGUAAGCUGUAACUCUGUGAGAGCUGGAGGAAAAUCUCUGAAAACUUAAGACGUAUUCCUGCACAGAUACGCUGCAAGA
RNA transcript from Cheilinus undulatus (humphead wrasse), 2404 nucleotides. It is a transcript of the gene named polypeptide N-acetylgalactosaminyltransferase 10-like, with no coding region annotated. Lineage: Eukaryota; Metazoa; Chordata; Actinopteri; Labriformes; Labridae. The record is from RefSeq and is a predicted model, not a curated record. The transcript has 14 exons.